AUGAACGCUGACAGAAUGCUUAACACAUGCAAGUCGAUGGGGAAGUGGUGCUUGCACCAUGGUAACCAUGGCGGACGGGUGGGUAACGCGUAAGGAACUUACCUGCGGGACCGGGAUAACAGCAGGAAACUGCUGACAAGACCGGAUAAGGUCAUUAAGCUGCAUAGCUUAGUGAUGAAAGGAGACGCCUGCGGAGAGCCUUGCGUCCUAUUAGCUAGUUGGAGGGGUAACGGCCCACCAAGGCGAAGAUAGGUAGCCGGCCUGAGAGGGUGGACGGCCACAAGGGGACUGAGAUACGGCCCUUACUCCUACGGGAGGCAGCAGUGGGGAAUAUUGGACAAUGGGGGCAACCCUGAUCCAGCAAUUCUGUGUGCACGAAGACGGUUUUCGGAUUGUAAAGUGCUUUCAGCAGGGAAGAAGGAAGUGACGGUACCUGCAGAAGAAGCGACGGCUAAAUACGUG
RNAcentral lists this ribosomal RNA (462 nucleotides) under uncultured bacterium. Its description in RNAcentral is "partial 16S ribosomal RNA". It matches the Rfam family "Bacterial small subunit ribosomal RNA", at positions 29 to 507 of the family's 1533-position model. The record is from RNAcentral.